Molecule: ribosomal RNA, 531 nt
Filed under: Salmonella enterica subsp. enterica serovar Stanley
Lineage: Bacteria; Pseudomonadati; Pseudomonadota; Gammaproteobacteria; Enterobacterales; Enterobacteriaceae
Description: partial 23S ribosomal RNA
Rfam family: Bacterial large subunit ribosomal RNA
Source: RNAcentral
GGGACACGUGGUAUCCUGUCUGAAUAUGGGGGGACCAUCCUCCAAGGCUAAAUACUCCUGACUGACCGAUAGUGAACCAGUACCGUGAGGGAAAGGCGAAAAGAACCCCGGCGAGGGGAGUGAAAAAGAACCUGAAACCGUGUACGUACAAGCAGUGGGAGCACCCUUCGGGGUGUGACUGCGUACCUUUUGUAUAAUGGGUCAGCGACUUAUAUUCUGUAGCAAGGUUAACCGAAUAGGGGAGCCGGAGGGAAACCGAGUCUUAAUUGGGCGUUAAGUUGCAGGGUAUAGACCCGAAACCCGGUGAUCUAGCCAUGGGCAGGUUGAAGGUUGGGUAACACUAACUGGAGGACCGAACCGACUAAUGUUGAAAAAUUAGCGGAUGACCUGUGGCUGGGGGUGAAAGGCCAAUCAAACCGGGAGAUAGCUGGUUCUCCCCGAAAGCUAUUUAGGUAGCGCCUCGUGAAUUCAUCUCCGGGGGUAGAGCACUGUUUCGGCUAGGGGGCCAUCCCGGCUUACCAACCCGAUGCA